This 400-nucleotide long non-coding RNA is filed under the name Capsicum annuum. RNAcentral's name for it is "long non-coding RNA (CANN_LNC018739)". The record is from RNAcentral. Lineage: Eukaryota; Viridiplantae; Streptophyta; Magnoliopsida; Solanales; Solanaceae.
CAAUUAAAAUUGGAUGAAAAAGUUAAUUCAGAAGUGCACAUUCAUGAAGCAGCAUCUGAAGAAGGAAAGGGUGAACUAGAUUUACGUGAUUCCCAAGCAACACUUCCUGAUGAGUUGCUACCCAGCCUUAACGCCUAUGUUAAUCUGGAAAGAAGCAUAAUUGUACAUCCAUCUGCAAAUAAAGAACAAAUGCCUAUGAAUGUUUCAAGAGUCGGGAGACAAUCUAAAUUCAAGGAGUCACCAUUCACUACAAAAUUUGGCUCAGCAGAAGGUUUGUACUAUAACCUUUUAUUUGGUUGCAUUUAUCAAUAUUCUUUAUUUUUAUACAUUAAUUUCUUUUUCUUUUCAUUGAAAUUAUGAAGGGAGCACAGAAGUGCAGACCAAAAAAUUCAACUUGAAG